This 253-nucleotide ribosomal RNA is filed under the name uncultured bacterium. RNAcentral describes it as "partial 16S ribosomal RNA". It matches the Rfam family "Bacterial small subunit ribosomal RNA", at positions 524 to 776 of the family's 1533-position model. The record is from RNAcentral.
UACGGAGGUUGCAAGCGUUGUUCGGAAUUACUGGGCGUAAAGGGAGCGCAGGCGGCUCUAUAAGUCUGGAGUGAAAUCCCGGGGCUUAACCUCGGAAGUGCUUUGGAUACUGUAGGGCUUGAGUGUGCGAGAGGAAAGCGGAAUUCCAGGUGUAGCGGUGAAAUGCGUAGAUAUCUGGAGGAACACCGGUGGCGAAAGCGGCUUUCUGGCGCACAACUGACGCUAAGGCUCGAAAGCGUGGGGAGCAAACGGG